UGAGGAAUAUUGGUCAAUGGACGCAAGUCUGAACCAGCCAAGUAGCGUGCAGGAUGACGGCCCUAUGGGUUGUAAACUGCUUUUAUGUGGGGAUAAAGUGGGGAACGUGUUCCCUUUUGCAGGUACCAUAUGAAUAAGGACCGGCUAAUUCCGUGCCAGCAGCCGCGGUAAUACGGAAGGUUCGGGCGUUAUCCGGAUUUAUUGGGUUUAAAGGGAGCGUAGGCCGUUUGGUAAGCGUGUUGUGAAAUGUAGGAGCUCAACUUCUAGAUUGCAGCGCGAACUGUCAGACUUGAGUGCGCACAACGUAGGCGGAAUUCAUGGUGUAGCGGUGAAAUGCUUAGAUAUCAUGAAGAACUCCGAUUGCGAAGGCAGCUUACGGGAGCGCAACUGACGCUGAAGCUCGAAGGUGCGGGUAUCGAACAGG
This 424-nucleotide ribosomal RNA is filed under the name Verrucomicrobiota bacterium. Its description in RNAcentral is "Verrucomicrobia bacterium partial 16S ribosomal RNA". It matches the Rfam family "Bacterial small subunit ribosomal RNA", at positions 355 to 776 of the family's 1533-position model. Lineage: Bacteria; Pseudomonadati; Verrucomicrobiota. The record is from RNAcentral.